This 3729-nucleotide long non-coding RNA is filed under the name Equus asinus (donkey). Its description in RNAcentral is "lncRNA (ENSEASG00005024744.1)". Lineage: Eukaryota; Metazoa; Chordata; Mammalia; Perissodactyla; Equidae. The record is from RNAcentral.
AGGGCUGUAAAUCACCAUUCUGGGCUGGCCGGGCACUUAGCAUAAUGGAAUGAUUGACAGGUGGAUAUUUACACUCAGCUGCCUAAAUGGGCAAAUCAAUCAACUGGUGGCAGUGCAGAAAGAGGGCCACAGGAGGAAUUAACGGGCCCCAGGACCACUGUGGCCACUCCCUGUGGGUGUCAUUGAAGAUGCUGGUAAGUUUUCUUACAGAUCCCUGCUUUGAGGCGAGGAUCUGAUUUAUAACAACACUCCCCUACAGCCUCAUGGCUUUUCCAGCUGUUACCUUUCGUGUGCAAAGCAGCCAUUUCCCCCCUCUCCAGACGAGAAAACUGAGACCCAGAGCAGUAGAGAUGAGACCAACUGCUGGUGACCAAGUCAGACUUACCAACUUACAUUCAAAGGGUUUAGUUCUUCAAAUUAAACAAAGGGGAAAAAAAUGCUCCCCAUUUUUGUCAGAGCCCAGAUGAUUUCUCUUUUUCCGUUCAUCAUUUGGGGCUGAGGGGGACGUAACUCAGUUAAAGACAGAAACAUUAAACGCGCAGUAAAACCAUCACACGUGCAGGAUUGAUAGGGGUAUUGAUUAACGCCAUCAGUAAAGUAUUUACCUUAAUCAAUAGGAAAAGGUGAUUUAAAUGUUUAGGUGUCUACCGCGCUUGAGUCGGCCAAGGCUUCCUUAGGAGCAUGAUUUCAUGUGAUGCACGCCUCCCUUCGCCCGUGUGCGCCCCUUAGCAAAGUUAAUUGCCACGGCUGAAGCCCCCUCUCCACACCACCAUGGUUGCUUUUGAGUCCUGUUGCAGGUUGGGUUCUCCUGGAGGAGAUUCUGAGCUGGAGUUUUGGGUGCAAGAUGUUUGGUUAAGAAUCGGCGUCUGUGAGGGAAUGGGAGGAAAUGAGUGGGCAGAGGAAGAAGUUGAAGGGUGAGGCAGCCCCACAAAGACACGGUCAAGGGACUGGAGCUCUGGAGCCAGAGGUGCCCCUCAGUGGGCAUCAGGCCCUUGUACCCCUACCCCACCCAGUUGCCCGCCUCCCCAGGAAGGGCAUGACCUUGGGCGAGGGGUCUCUCUGCCGCUCAGGCAGACGCUGAAGGAGCUGAGAGCUGGAAGCUGCCUGCAGACCCCACUUCCCACAGCUGGGCAGCCAGGCCUCCCCGGAAGGGAGGUCUGGGAAGCAUAUUCCCCAGUCGGCCACAACCCCAGAGGGUAUCCAAACGCCAUCACAUGCUAACCCUGACUGCUGGGAGGCUUUGUUCAAAGGAGGCGGUCCAUCAGGGGCUGUUUGAAACCAAGGUUGACUAUUUCUCCUAAUGCACUCUGGACCCAUUGGGACUCUGCGGUGACGUGGUUGAGGUGUAGAAACUUCUAGUCAUUUAGGGAUAUUGGAAAAGACACUUGGCCAGGAGGUCGCCUGAAUUCUAGCCCCACGUUAGAACCUUCUUUCUGAGUGUCACUUUCUCAGGCCCCUUCCCUGUGCUGGGCUUCAGACUCCACAUCUUACAAAAAGGGUAUGUUGCCUUAGAAGCGUGUUGCCCGACUUUCCCAGCCACUGGAAUGCCCUGUGGAACAUUUAUUUAAAUUCAGGUUCCAGACCCCUACCUGAAAUCUCCGGGGAAGCAGCCUAGGAGUCUGGCUUUUUCAUCAGAGCCACAGAUGAUCCUUAUGACCUGCUGAUUGUGAAAGUGGACUAGGAGCCCCUCAGCCAGACCAGCUGUGUCGGGUUCACCAGGAAAAGUUCGCAAGGUGGAGAUCCUCCAGCCCCGUGCCGGAAGAUUUUGAUUCAAAUUCUGCAUUUAAAUAUAAACAGCAAUGAUGAUAAUCAAUAGAACAGAUCAAUUGCAUUCCUGGCCCUAAUUCUUCCCUUGUAACCCCGCCCUUCUCACGUGACUUUGAUUUCCCAAAACUGUAGAGUAUAUUUCCCUCCCCGCAAUGUGACACGUUUGGCCGAUAGAAGAGGUGGGUAGGAGAGACUGUGCAUCAGUUCCAGUCCUUGGCCUCCAGAGGCCUGGCCUAUUUCUACCUACUCAUUUGUGCUCCUGUCAUCGCCACGAGAAGUUCAUGCCCGGCCUGGUCUGUUGGUCCCAGGAGAAGGACAAGAGAUACACGUGGAGCAGAGCUGCCCAGCUACCGUGUGCCGGCCGAGCCCAGCCUUGAGCUGACCCCCAGCCGACCUGCAGGUGCAUGAGUGCACCAGCCUGGAUCAGCCAACCUCCAGCUGCCCCCAAGACUAACGGCACGAGUUGUCUCAACUUCAGGCAUCUCAGUUUCCUUAUCUGGGAAACGAAGAUGAAGUUGGCUGUCCCAGAGCGGUGGUGAAAAUCAAACGUGGGGACGUGCGUGGGGCGUUGCAUGGCAGGAUUCCUUGGUGAUAUCUGGUGAAUAAUUACAACACAGAGCCAGUGAAGACCACGGCCUCGGGAAUCCGAUUUCCUGCACUUAAACCCUGUCUUCACCACCUGCGUGUCCCUGCGUAAGUGACUUACCCUAUCUCAGGCUUGGUUCCUCGUCCCUGCAAUGGGGGUGGUCCCAGCGUCCACCUCACACGACCGCCCUGGAGCUUAAAUGAGGUUGUGCCAGCAGAGCCUGGCCCAAGGCUGGCACAGGCCAUGACCUCAAUAACCAGGAGCUAUGACUCGGCUUGUUUAAACCUCAGCACCCACAGAGGCACUUCCAGAAACACCAGAGGAGGGCCAGCACGUGAUCUUGGACUUGUCUGGGAAGGAUAAUGUGCGUAUUGAGGACAAGCAGACUUUACUUGCAGACUCAAAUGGGACACCCUACUUGAGCUAGACUAGGGCGGGUUUAGGGAGACCCCCGAAAACAAGUCAUACCCACAUGGGUCACAUAGACUGCUCCCUCUCUCCUGGCCUGUGGUGUCGGCUGAGCCCAGUGAGUUAGAAAAGCAGAGAACAUCUAGUUCUAAGAAUCAGAAUACCUACGAAAAGAUCAGUCGAGCCGCAAAAUAUUAUCUUAAAAUUAAAAUAUAAGUCAGUGGGAAAUUAAUUUCACCAAAUGUUCCAGACCAUUUCGGAUGUCAAACAGGGGGCAUCCCGGGCACGUUCUAAAGCAGUGGUUUCCAAAGCAGGAUCCUUGAUCCUGCAGCAAAUUUGCAGGUCCCACCACAAUCCUACGGAAUCAGAAAUUCUGGGCAGGGCAUCAGCCUUCGUGUUUCAAUGAGCAGCGGGGCAUCUGGAUACAUGCUCCUUCGAGAAUCACAGCCCUUAUGGGAAGAAGUGGAUGCAGCUGACAGACAUGUCUGUCUGUGUCCUGGGAGCUCAGACCUCCCGCGUCAUACACACCCCCUGCUCUCCCUCCUCCCUUGUCACACUUACAAACUAUCUUCUCUUCUUCAAAACUGAUCACCAGCCAGUGGAAGGUGUCCGUUUCUACAUCCAGUCUCUAGGACAAAAGCAGAUUUGCCAGGAGUUGCAGAACCCAGCACCGCAGUCCUAUCACGGGCCGCUAUCAGACAAAUCAAAAGUGCCGGACAUUCUGCAAACUACCUGACCGAUACUCCUCCAAACCGUCAAGGGCAGGCAAAACAAGGACAGUCCGAGAAGCUGUCACAGAGUGGAGAAGACUAAGGAGACAGGACGUCUGAGUGACACGGCAUCCUGCAUUCCACAGGAGCAGGGAAACGGGGAAGUUCAAAUAAUGUGGGAGCUGUGUUCACAGAAACGUGCCGCUGUUGGUUUAUGCUGUGGUGCUGUGUGAUAAUGUUAGGGAAGCUGGAUGAAAG